This 482-nucleotide ribosomal RNA is filed under the name uncultured Marinobacterium sp. RNAcentral describes it as "bacterial SSU rRNA". It matches the Rfam family "Bacterial small subunit ribosomal RNA", at positions 351 to 825 of the family's 1533-position model. Lineage: Bacteria; Pseudomonadati; Pseudomonadota; Gammaproteobacteria; Oceanospirillales; Oceanospirillaceae. The record is from RNAcentral.
GCAGUGGGGAAUAUUGGACAAUGGGGGCAACCCUGAUCCAGCCAUGCCGCGUGUGUGAAGAAGGCCUUCGGGUUGUAAAGCACUUUCAGCUGUGAGGAAAGGCGAGUGGUUAAUACCCGCUUGCUGUGACGUUAACAGCAGAAGAAGGACCGGCUAACUCCGUGCCAGCAGCCGCGGUAAUACGGAGGGUCCGAGCGUUAAUCGGAAUUACUGGGCGUAAAGCGCGCGUAGGUGGUUCAGUCAGUCAGAUGUGAAAGCCCCGGGCUCAACCUGGGAACUGCACCUGAUACUGCUGAGCUAGAGUACGGUAGAGGGUAGUGGAAUUUCCGGUGUAGCGGUGAAAUGCGUAGAGAUCGGAAGGAACACCAGUGGCGAAGGCGACUACCUGGACCGAUACUGACACUGAGGUGCGAAAGCGUGGGUAGCAAACAGGAUUAGAUACCCUGGUAGUCCACGCCGUAAACGAUGUCAACUAGCCGUUG